GAGAACUCGGCCUGCUUUAACUGGAAAUCACUCCAGAGCGCUGUUCCCUGAUGAGGUGCACCUGACGCCCUCUUGGACGGAAAACAUGAGAAAACACUGGAGCCACCGGUUCCUAGGAACUGAUGGUGGUUGCAGGCCCUGCUGCCUGCCACCUGCCCCUUGUCCCUGCUGUAGCUGGGGAAGUCCAUGAAACUGCUUGGCCACACCCCAGCAGAGUCAGUGGGAAAGGGGAGAACGGGUAGGCAAUUGAGACAUGCGUUUGAUCCCUGGUCCAGGAAGGUCCAACAUGCUGUGGAGCAGCUAAGCCUGCACACCUCAGCUACUGAGCCUGUGCGCCAGAGCCCAGGAGCUGCAACUGCCGAGCCCACGUAGCACAGCUCCCGAAGCCCGAACACCCUGGACAGCGUGCACUGCAGCAAAGAGUAGCCCUCGCUCAGUUCAGAGGGCUACUGGGCACGGAAGAUCC
Molecule: long non-coding RNA, 466 nt
Organism: Bos taurus (domestic cattle)
Lineage: Eukaryota; Metazoa; Chordata; Mammalia; Artiodactyla; Bovidae
Source: Ensembl